AUCACUUGCAUCCAAAGACGAUUUGGUCAUGUUCCUUUUCAGAAUCGCUCGUUUCUUUUAGUAAUUUAAGAUUAUGACUAGGCCUACAGCAUCUAACUAACUGUAAUCCUCUGAUAACUAAAUGUCUGAAGGCAAAAUACCAUUUUAUUGAUGAAUAUAUCUCCAUUUAACUCAUACAGUUUAGUGUAGGGUGUAAUGUCUGAAUGUUUUUGUUGACAGUAGCAGACACUACAUCUGCCUAUGAGCAAUGGACAGAACUGAGAAUACCAUAUCAUGAACAGUAGUGAACACUGCUGGCAACAUCCUGUUUUAACUCUGCGCUGUAUACUACUGAACACAAUGAAGGAUCAACGUCUUUUCAUUUCGGAAUUCAAGUAGGAUCGAUUUCUCUACAUACAAGCCCCACCAGUGCAGUUGGCACACAACAGCAUCUCUCCUGAUCAAGUGAAAAGGAAUCCUAUGACACCGCUUGAUCUUUGUCUGACAUGGAAAUCUGCAAAUCAAAUAAGGUGGAAGAAUAACAUCUGGUUAAAAAAUUUAUGUGGAAAAAUAUCUGCUUUAAAGUGAUGUCAUGAACUGGACGCUGCACUCUUGAUUCCAACACUAAUAUUGUCAUGACCAAAUGUUAAAGUUCAUAUUCAGCAAGUUGAAGAUAACUGACACCAUCUUUAAGUAUAAGUUUCACAAAUAUGGUAUUCAGAAGUUUUUUGUUUUCACUACUGAUGUAUAUAUAGUAUAAAAAAAUGGAUUUCUGUAAUAGAAUAAAGUAUUGGAAUACA
Molecule: long non-coding RNA, 779 nt
Filed under: Haliotis rufescens (red abalone)
Lineage: Eukaryota; Metazoa; Mollusca; Gastropoda; Lepetellida; Haliotidae
Description: uncharacterized LOC124137527, transcript variant X6
Source: RNAcentral